CACCCUCCUGGCCUCCCACGGGCGAGAGGAUGCUUCAUGGAAGGCCCGGGGCAAGAUGAGCUUUCCUCUCUCUUGAAGAAAUGUGGGACUGAACCAGGAUUGUGAACACGGCAUGGCUAUAGGGGGGCUGGGGUUCUCCGACCCGCACCUUUCCUGCUUGAAGCCAACCUCCCGCCAUCAACGCAUGUACUGAAAGCAGAAUUUGUCUUCUGAAACCUCCUGGGCCAAGAUUUCCCCAAAUUGCUGGCAUAUUAAAACGAAGCCGCCAUGUGAAAUACCGAGCGGGGAUCCAAGGCCACAGUCAAGUUCACCUGCCCCACCUGUCUCUAAGCCAUGCCCCUGGCCUCCACACUCAUCACUGGGGGCGACCUCUCCGUUCUGGGGAAAAAUCCUUAUUACUGAAAUGGCUCCUUUAUAACCUUCUCCUUGAUCUGGGAUAUCAGCUUCUCACCAUCUAACUCUGGG
Long non-coding RNA from Balaenoptera ricei (Rice's whale), 465 nucleotides. RefSeq lists it as uncharacterized. NCBI's taxonomy places the organism in Eukaryota, Metazoa, Chordata, Mammalia, Artiodactyla, Balaenopteridae. The record is from RefSeq and is a predicted model, not a curated record. The transcript has 3 exons.